GACGAACGCUGGCGGCGUGCUUAACACAUGCAAGUCGAACGGAAAGGCCCGGUUCUUGUGGGGUGCGCGAGUGCCGAACGGGUGUGUAACACGUGAGGGACCUGCCCUUGACUUUGGGGUAACUUCAGGGAACAGGGGCGAAUAUAGGAUAGGAGCUCCUGCUGCAUGGGGGGGGUGGGAAAAAUUCGGCGGUUGGGGAUGGAGUUGCGGUGUAGCAGCUUGUUGGUGGGGUAGUGGGGUACCAAGGCUUUGACGGGUAGCCGGCCUGAGAGGGUGACCGGCCACAUUGGGACUGAGAUACGGCCCAGACUCCUACGUGAGGCAGCAGUGGGAAAUAUUGCACAAUGGGCGGAAGCCUGAUGCAGCAACGCCGCGUGCGGGAUGACGGCUUUCGGGUUGUAACCCGCUUUCGCCUGUAACGAAGCGUGAGUGACGGUAAUGGGUAAAGAAGCACCGGCUAACUACGUG
This 468-nucleotide ribosomal RNA is filed under the name uncultured bacterium. Its description in RNAcentral is "partial 16S ribosomal RNA". It matches the Rfam family "Bacterial small subunit ribosomal RNA", at positions 28 to 507 of the family's 1533-position model. The record is from RNAcentral.